UCUAUUUUUAUUUAUUGUAUGAUCCUAAAUAAGAUCCCAAAGAAAUACUUACAAGACAAGAUGAGAAUGUGUGCCGUCGCAACUUGUAAAAAUAUAGGAAAUCAUAAAUUUCCAAAUGAUGAAAACCAGGCGCAACAAUGGAUUAAGGCGACUCGGAUAAAUGUGCGAAAAAUUGAUUGGAAACGACGAAAACAUUCAUGGUUGUGUUCGGAUCAUUUCAUACCAAGUGAUUUUCAUUCACGUGGCAAACAAAUAAGAUUAAAGAAAACUGCGGUUCCUUCAAUAUUUUCUUGGACUACACCAGUUGCGUCUACUUCAAAGACAGAACCUCAAAAUGCCGCAUCUAAUGAAAUUUAUCAGUGUAACUUCAACCCUGCAAAUGCAUCUAAGAAUUACUUAAGAUCAGACACUCGAAUCACAUUUGUUGAGGAGUACCCUAUACUAAAUAUGGAGAUGGAAACCAUAGACAGCGACCCUCUACGAAUAAAUCCAUCACCUGACACAGUUGGAUCGGAAAUAACCAUUGAUGAAGAUCUGAAUGUUUCAAAUCUCAUACCAAAUCAUGUAUCAGUGCAAACUGAACCUGAAACAUUGCCACAAAUUCAACAAGACACAGAUUUGAAAAGAACCCUUUUUAGUGUGGAUAACUUAAAAAAUAAUGAUAAAAUUAUUCAUUUUUAUACUGGUUUGGAGACUGUUGAUAAACUUAAUUAUGUAUUGUCACUAUCUCGAGUGCACUAACUCUACAGUAUCAAGGGAGGAGGAGCACAUAGCUCAACUACAACUCAAUUAAUACAGGAGAAACACAAGGAA
Molecule: long non-coding RNA, 813 nt
Organism: Plutella xylostella (diamondback moth)
Lineage: Eukaryota; Metazoa; Arthropoda; Insecta; Lepidoptera; Plutellidae
Source: RefSeq, a predicted model, not a curated record